RNAcentral lists this ribosomal RNA (309 nucleotides) under uncultured eukaryote. Its description in RNAcentral is "partial 18S ribosomal RNA". It matches the Rfam family "Eukaryotic small subunit ribosomal RNA", at positions 1470 to 1796 of the family's 1831-position model. The record is from RNAcentral.
CCCUUAGAUGUUCUGGGCCGCACGCGCGCUACACUGAUGAAUUCAACGAGCAUAUAACCUUGACCGAAAGGCCCGGGGAAACUCCGAAAUUUCAUCGUGAUGGGGAUAGAUUAUUGUAAUUAUUAAUCUUCAACGAGGAAUUCCUAGUAAGCGCGAAUCAUCAGUUCGUGCUGAUUACGUCCCUGCCCUUUGUACACACCGCCCGUCGCUACUACCGAUUGAAUGGUUUAGUGAGGCCUUCGGAUCCGCGAUUUUAUUGUGGAGAAGUUGGACAAACUCAGUCAUUUAGAGGAAGUAAAAGUCGUAACA